UUCUGAUGAUGAGCCAGCCAUGCUAAUACUGAUGCACCAGUCUGACUGUGUCUCUCUGGGUGUAAGUGAGUUCAACACAACUUCUCACACUCGUGGUGUGAUCUGAAGAUG
Molecule: small nucleolar RNA, 111 nt
Organism: Danio rerio (zebrafish)
Lineage: Eukaryota; Metazoa; Chordata; Actinopteri; Cypriniformes; Danionidae
Source: Ensembl